GACGAACGCUGGCGGCGUGCUUAACACAUGCAAGUCGAGCGAUGAAAGCCUUAUGAACUAUUCGUAGUGAUUGGGGCCGGAUUAGCGGCGGACGGGUGAGUAACGCGUGAGCAACCUGCCUUAAACAACGGGAUAGCCUCGGGAAACCGGGAUUAAUACCGUAUGAGACCCCGCCUUCCCAUGAAGAAGGGGUUAAAGAUUUAUCGGUUUAAGAUGGGCUCGCGUCUGAUUAGCUAGUUGGUGAGAUAAAAGCCCACCAAGGCAACGAUCAGUAACCGGCUUGAGAGAGUGAACGGUCACAUUGGAACUGAGACACGGUCCAAACUCCUACGGGAGGCAGCAGUGGGGAAUAUUGCACAAUGGGGGAAACCCUGAUGCAGCGACGCCGCGUGAGCGAUGAAGGAAUUCGUUUCGUAAAGCUCUGUCCAAGGGGAAGAUAAUGACAGUACCCUUGGAGGAAGCCCCGGCUAAAUACGUGCCAGCCGCCGCCGUAA
This 494-nucleotide ribosomal RNA is filed under the name uncultured bacterium. Its description in RNAcentral is "partial 16S ribosomal RNA". It matches the Rfam family "Bacterial small subunit ribosomal RNA", at positions 28 to 523 of the family's 1533-position model. The record is from RNAcentral.